This 432-nucleotide long non-coding RNA is filed under the name Capra hircus (goat). Its description in RNAcentral is "lncRNA (ENSCHIG00000002522.1)". The record is from RNAcentral. Lineage: Eukaryota; Metazoa; Chordata; Mammalia; Artiodactyla; Bovidae.
CAACGUGCACACACAUCUGGUCUAGUGGUACCUCUGGAUGGUUUUGUUAACGUCACUGCUCUGCCUGGAAGGCCUUCAUUCCUCAGCUGCAUGACCUUGGUUCUGCUUCCACUGAGACCUUGCUAAAGGCUCCAGUUCUCCUAGAUGCCUUCCCAGACUAAAUUCCUUUCUUUGAGAUCAGCUCCCGGCUUUGUAUACUUUGGCGGUGUAUCUGUAGGUUUUAGUUUCUCACCAAGAAGGCAGGAAUAGUAAUGCUGAGCCUUUAGAGGGGAAAUUAUGAUGAUAGCUGCCACUGAAGAUGCUGCUGCUGGUGAUAAUGAUGACAACUGUUGAUGGUGGUGAGGAUAUCUAACAUUUAUUUCAUGUUUGUCCUGUGUUAGACUAGGGUUAGAAGCAGCUGUGUAGGUGGUUGGCAUGCUGUGUGGAGUCUGG